RNAcentral lists this ribosomal RNA (513 nucleotides) under uncultured bacterium. Its description in RNAcentral is "partial 16S ribosomal RNA". It matches the Rfam family "Bacterial small subunit ribosomal RNA", at positions 28 to 507 of the family's 1533-position model. The record is from RNAcentral.
GACGAACGCUGGCGGCGUGCUUAACACAUGCAAGUCGAACGAAAAGAGGGAAAGAGCCUGCUCUUUCCGGAAUUGAGUGGCAAACGGGUGAGUAACACGUAAACAACCUGCCUUCAGGAUGGGGACAACAGACGGAAACGACUGCUAAUACCGAAUAAGUUCCAAGAGCCGCAUGGCCCAUGGAAGAAAAGGUGGCCUCUACCUGUAAGCUAUCGCCUGAAGAGGGGUUUGCGUCUGAUUAGCUGGUUGGGGGGGUAACGGCCCACCAAGGCGACGAUCAGUAGCCGGUCUGAGAGGAUGAACGGCCACACUGGAACUGAGACACGGUCCAGACUCCUACGGGAGGCAGCAGUGGGGAAUCUUCCGCAAUGGGCGAAAGCCUGACGGAGCAACGCCGCGUGAGUGAUGACGGCCUUCGGGUUGUAAAACUCUGUGAUCCGGGACGAAAAGGCAGAGUGCGAAGAACAAACUGCAUUGACGGUACCGGAAAAGCAAGCCACGGCUAACUACGUG